UACGGAGGGUGCAAGCGUUAUCCGGAAUUACUGGGUUUAAAGGGUGCGUAGGCGGAACUAUAAGUCAGAGGUGAAAUCACACAGCUCAACUGUGUAACUGCCUUUGAUACUGUAGAUCUUGAAUUAGGUUGAGGUUAGCGGAAUGUGACAUGUAGCGGUGAAAUGCAUAGAUAUGUCAUAGAACACCAAUUGCGAAGGCAGCUGGCUAGGCCUAUAUUGACGCUGAGGCACGAAAGCGUGGGGAGCGAACAGG
This 253-nucleotide ribosomal RNA is filed under the name uncultured bacterium. Its description in RNAcentral is "partial 16S ribosomal RNA". It matches the Rfam family "Bacterial small subunit ribosomal RNA", at positions 524 to 776 of the family's 1533-position model. The record is from RNAcentral.